UACGGAGGAUGCAAGCGUUAUCCGGAUUCAUUGGGUUUAAAGGGUGCGUAGGCGGAAUGGUAAGUCAGUGGUGAAAUCCCUCGGCUCAACCGAGGAACUGCCAUUGAUACUGUCAUUCUUGAGUACAGUUGAGGUGGGUGGAAUGUAUCAUGUAGCGGUGAAAUGCUUAGAUAUGAUACAGAACACCGAUAGCGAAGGCAACCUACCAAGCUGUAACUGACGCUAAUGCACGAAAGCGUGGGGAUCAAACAGG
This 253-nucleotide ribosomal RNA is filed under the name uncultured bacterium. RNAcentral's name for it is "partial 16S ribosomal RNA". It matches the Rfam family "Bacterial small subunit ribosomal RNA", at positions 524 to 776 of the family's 1533-position model. The record is from RNAcentral.